Molecule: unclassified non-coding RNA, 381 nt
Filed under: uncultured Actinomycetes bacterium
Lineage: Bacteria; Bacillati; Actinomycetota; Actinomycetes
Description: uncultured actinobacterium contains 16S-23S intergenic spacer region
Source: RNAcentral
UCCGAGUUGACCCCGGCAGUCUCCUGCGAGUCCCCGCCAUUACGCGCUGGCAACACAGGACAAGGGUUGCGCUCGUUGCGGGACUUAACCCAACAUCUCACGACACGAGCUGACGACAACCAUGCACCACCUGUCACUUUGUCCCCCGAAGGGGAAUGCCCUAUCUCUAGGGUGGUCAAAGGAUGUCAAGCCCUGGUAAGGUUCUUCGCGUUGCGUCGAAUUAAACCACAUGCUCCGCUGCUUGUGCGGGUCCCCGUCAAUUCCUUUGAGUUUUAGCCUUGCGGCCGUACUCCCCAGGCGGGGUGCUUAAUGCGUUAGCUUCGGCACGGACGGAGUCGACACCGCCCACACCUAGCACCCAUCGUUUACGGCGUGGACUAC